Molecule: long non-coding RNA, 412 nt
Organism: Alligator sinensis (Chinese alligator)
Lineage: Eukaryota; Metazoa; Chordata; Crocodylia; Alligatoridae
Exons: 4
Source: RefSeq, a predicted model, not a curated record
GCUGCUGGUAAGGGAAACAGCAACAUCAGCUGACUGAGAUUCUGCUCAGGGAUCUGGAGGUGUGGCAGGUGAGUGGAGUAAGCAGACUGCUGAGAGACAGAGGAAGACUGGAGGUGGAGACCUGGCUGCGAAGAUCAAACAACCAAUUGAUAGUCCUUCAACAUCCCAGGAGGCAUUGUUCCCAGGUCAGGUGGAUUAGCUGUCCUCCUGGACUCUGAAGCUGCCUCCCAUCCCAUCCCUCACCACAGUGACAACCUGGACAGAGGAGCUGCAGCUGAAAAUCAUCCAGGCAACCACCUGGAAGCACCUUACUGUAGCUUUUCAAAAUGCUCACUGGAAGAAGAGACAGCUCCCUCCUCCCCUCAAGAACUUAUCCAGCCGGGUCACCUGGUUGACCAGCCUGAACCAAAAA